This 108-nucleotide microRNA precursor is filed under the name Solanum lycopersicum (tomato). RNAcentral describes it as "mir-166 microRNA precursor family". It matches the Rfam family "mir-166 microRNA precursor family". From Rfam's summary of the family: This family represents the plant microRNA (miRNA) precursor mir-166. RNAcentral also lists the same sequence under 1 other name. The record is from Rfam by way of RNAcentral. Lineage: Eukaryota; Viridiplantae; Streptophyta; Magnoliopsida; Solanales; Solanaceae.
GUUGAGGGGAAUGUUGUUUGGUUCGAAAUCAUUCAAACAAAUUAAAAUUCAUGCAUCUCGAUGAUCGAUGAAUUGAAUAAUUUCGGACCAGGCUUCAUUCCCCCCAAC